This 72-nucleotide transfer RNA is filed under the name Phrynosoma platyrhinos (Desert horned lizard). Its description in RNAcentral is "tRNA-OTHER". The record is from RNAcentral. Lineage: Eukaryota; Metazoa; Chordata; Lepidosauria; Squamata; Phrynosomatidae.
GCCAGCAUGGCGUAGUGGUUUGAGUGUUGGACUACAACUCUGGAGACAAGAGUUCGAUUCCCAGCUUGGUCA